Long non-coding RNA from Teleopsis dalmanni, 296 nucleotides. RefSeq lists it as uncharacterized. The record is from RefSeq and is a predicted model, not a curated record. Lineage: Eukaryota; Metazoa; Arthropoda; Insecta; Diptera; Diopsidae. The transcript is spliced from 3 exons.
UUCGUGUGGAAAGGUCUGUUGUGUGCGUCUUCAAGUUUUCAACACACCUCUAUGAAUGAGCGGCAGUGAAAAGUUUCAUCUGCGAGUCAACUAAAAACUCUAUUCUUUCCUUCGAUAUUAUAUGGACUAGCGCAGCGAAUCGAUUUACGAUAAAUGUAAUCUUUCAAAGUGUGAACUAUUUUUACAAAAUUUGGCAAAAAUAAGCUAUCAACGCUUUCGAGACAAAUACAAAAAUUUUUUUGACGAAAUUACUAGGAAAACCAAAGAAAAAUAUUUAAAAAACAAUUCGUUAUGUU